RNAcentral lists this ribosomal RNA (484 nucleotides) under uncultured bacterium. RNAcentral describes it as "partial 16S ribosomal RNA". It matches the Rfam family "Bacterial small subunit ribosomal RNA", at positions 28 to 523 of the family's 1533-position model. The record is from RNAcentral.
GACGAACGCUGGCGGCGUGCUUAACACAUGCAAGUCGAACGAUGAACCCGGAGCUUGCUCCGGUGGAUUAGUGGCGAGCGGGUGAGUAACACGUGAGUAACCUGCCCUUGACUCUGGGAUAACUGCGGGAAACUGUAGCUAAUACCGGAUACGACCCUCGGCGGCAUCGCCAGGGGGUGGAAAGAAUUUCGGUCAAGGAUGGACUCGCGGCCUAUCAGCUAGUUGGUGAGGUAACGGCUCACCAAGGCGACGACGGGUAGCCGGCCUGAGAGGGUGACCGGCCACACUGGGACUGAGACACGGCCCAGACUCCUACGGGAGGCAGCAGUGGGGAAUAUUGCAGAAUGGGCGCAAGCCUGAUGCAGCAACGCCGCGUGAGGGAUGACGGCCUUCGGGUUGUAAACCUCUUUUAGUAGGGAAGAAGCGAAAGUGACGGUACCUGCAGAAAAAGCACCGGCUAACUACGUGCCAGCCGCCGCGGUAA